This 497-nucleotide ribosomal RNA is filed under the name uncultured bacterium. RNAcentral describes it as "partial 16S ribosomal RNA". It matches the Rfam family "Bacterial small subunit ribosomal RNA", at positions 28 to 507 of the family's 1533-position model. The record is from RNAcentral.
GAUGAACGCUGGCGGCGUGCCUAAUACAUGCAAGUCGAGCGAACAGACGAGGAGCUUGCUCCUCUGAUGUUAGCGGCGGACGGGUGAGUAACACGUGGAUAACCUACCUAUAAGACUGGGAUAACUUCGGGAAACCGGAGCUAAUACCGGAUAACAUGUUGAACCGCAUGGUUCAACAGUGAAAGACGGUCUUGCUGUCACUUAUAGAUGGAUCCGCGCCGCAUUAGCUAGUUGGUAAGGUAACGGCUUACCAAGGCAACGAUGCGUAGCCGACCUGAGAGGGUGAUCGGCCACACUGGAACUGAGACACGGUCCAGACUCCUACGGGAGGCAGCAGUAGGGAAUCUUCCGCAAUGGGCGAAAGCCUGACGGAGCAACGCCGCGUGAGUGAAGAAGGUCUUCGGAUCGUAAAACUCUGCUAUUAGGGAAGAACAAAUGUGUAAGUAACUAUGCACGUCUUGACGGUACCUAAUCAGAAAGCCACGGCUAACUACGUG